Molecule: ribosomal RNA, 180 nt
Filed under: uncultured Geobacteraceae bacterium
Lineage: Bacteria; Pseudomonadati; Thermodesulfobacteriota; Desulfuromonadia; Geobacterales; Geobacteraceae
Description: partial 16S ribosomal RNA
Rfam family: Bacterial small subunit ribosomal RNA
Source: RNAcentral
UGGGGAAUUUUGGACAAUGGGGGAAACCCUGACCCAGCAAUGCCGCGUGAGUGAUGAAGGCCUUCGGGUUGUAAAGCUCUUUCGGAGGGAAAGAAAGGGCCUGGGGUAAUACCCCGCUUUCCUGACCGUACCCCUCAAAGGAGCCCCGGCUAACUCCCGGGCCCGCGCCCCGAUAAUUAA